AGGUCUGUCUGUCUCUCUCUCCCAAAUUUGCUAGUUCUGUGCUGGGUUUAUGUUAAAGUGGAUAUCCAAAUCCUACUAUACACGCUAACCUCUCUCUUCCUUCCUUCUUAUGGUGGCGUUGAAAGAAAGGGGAUCACCAUCGUCUCCACCAUCAUGACCAUCAUCAUGAUUUCAAGAUUAGAAAAUGUCCAACACCAACAGCCACUACCAGCCGCCCACAAAAUCGCGAAGGAGAACAUCCUUAAUUAAGUCAGGAGGAACGUUGCUCCACACUAUCACACCGCAGAGUCUUGGAUUUGGAUUUGAAAAGGCGAAAGCUCACAAGAGUGAUGUCUGCAUUGCCACCUUCAUGAGGUAAGACAUCACUAAAGAGUAUGGGGGAGGCAAAGAGGUUUGAAAAAUUCUUGGUGCACAACUUUUGUGGGAAAAUGCUUUGGUGAGUCAUUGAUUCUGCAUAAUAUAUGCAAAACUUUUGCUGAUUUGACAGCAUGUUUGGUUUCUGUAAUUUUCAAAAUUCUCCAACUUUAAUGUGUUUUUCCUUGC
This is a non-coding RNA of Malus domestica (apple), 543 nucleotides long. Lineage: Eukaryota; Viridiplantae; Streptophyta; Magnoliopsida; Rosales; Rosaceae. The record is from RefSeq and is a predicted model, not a curated record.